GGCUGAAUAGCUCAGUGGUAAAAGCAGUCGGCAAGCGAAAGACUCGGGUGCGAUUUCCGAUUCAGCGA
This 68-nucleotide transfer RNA is filed under the name Camponotus floridanus (Florida carpenter ant). It matches the Rfam family "tRNA". From Rfam's summary of the family: Transfer RNA (tRNA) molecules are approximately 80 nucleotides in length. The record is from Rfam by way of RNAcentral. Lineage: Eukaryota; Metazoa; Arthropoda; Insecta; Hymenoptera; Formicidae.